CCUACGGGUGGCAGCAGUCGAGAAUUUUUCUCAAUGGGGGAAACCCUGAAGGAGCGACGCCGCGUGGAGGAUGAAGGCUUUCGGGUUGUAAACUCCUGUCAUCUGGGAACAAAACUCGCAAGAGCUUGAUAGUACCAGAAGAGGAAGAGACGGCUAACUCUGUGCCAGCAGCCGCGGUAAUACAGAGGUCUCAAGCGUUGUUCGGAUUCAUUGGGCGUAAAGGGCGCGUAGGCGGUGGGGUAAGUCUGGUGUGAAAUCUCGGAGCUCAACUUCGAAAUUGCACUGGAUACUGCUCUGCUAGAGGGCUGGAGAGGAGAUCGGAAUUCACGGUGUAGCAGUGAAAUGCGUAGAUAUCGUGAGGAAGACCAGUGGCGAAGGCGGAUCUCUGGACAGCUCCUGACGCUGAGGCGCGAAGGCUAGGGGAGCAAACGGGAUUAGAUACCCUUGUAGUC
This 452-nucleotide ribosomal RNA is filed under the name uncultured bacterium. RNAcentral's name for it is "bacterial SSU rRNA". It matches the Rfam family "Bacterial small subunit ribosomal RNA", at positions 338 to 795 of the family's 1533-position model. The record is from RNAcentral.